RNAcentral lists this ribosomal RNA (769 nucleotides) under uncultured Actinomycetes bacterium. Its description in RNAcentral is "bacterial SSU rRNA". It matches the Rfam family "Bacterial small subunit ribosomal RNA", at positions 8 to 795 of the family's 1533-position model. The record is from RNAcentral. Lineage: Bacteria; Bacillati; Actinomycetota; Actinomycetes.
AGAGUUUGAUCAUGGCUCAGGAUGAACGCUGGCGGCGUGCUUAACACAUGCAAGUCGAACGAGGUCCAACCUUCGGGUGAAGACCGAGUGGCGAACGGGUGAGUAACACGUGGGGAACCUGCCCUUCUCUCUGGGAUAACCUCGGGAAACCGAAGCUAAUACCGGAUACUCCUUGCGGACCGCAUGGUCUGCUCGGGAAAGCUCCGGCGGAGAAGGAUGGCCCCGCGGCCCAUUAGCUUGUUGGUGGGGUAACGGCCCACCAAGGCGACGAUGGGUAGCCGAGCUGAGAGGCUGAUCGGCCACACUGGGACUGAGACACGGCCCAGACUCCUACGGGAGGCAGCAGUGGGGAAUCUUGCGCAAUGGGCGAAAGCCUGACGCAGCAACGCCGCGUGCGGGAUGAAGGCUCUCGGGUCGUAAACCGCUUUCAGCAGGGAUGAAAAUGACAGUACCUGCAGAAGAAGCCCCGGCUAAAUACGUGCCAGCAGCCGCGGUAAUACGUAUGGGGCAAGCGUUAUCCGGAUUCAUUGGGCGUAAAGCGCGCGUAGGCGGCUUGUUAAGUCAGGCGUGAAAUCCGGGGGCUCAACCCGCGGCUUGCGUCUGAAACUGGCAGGCUUGAGUCUGGUAGAGGAAAGUGGAAUUCCUGGUGUAGCGGUGAAAUGCGCAGAUAUCAGGAGGAACACCAGUGGCGAAGGCGGCUUUCUGGGCCACGACUGACGCUGAGGCGCGAAAGCUAGGGGAGCGAACAGGAUUAGAUACCCUGGUAGUC